AGGUGGUAAAUCCUGGCCAAGGCUCCUCGAGCCAGGCCGGCUGGCAGUGCUGCAUCGUGCUGAAGGCGCUGAGGUUGCAGCGGAUGCAUUCCGGGCCAGUGAUAUGAUGUGGACAGGAAAAGUCUUUUGUUCUGGGAAAAUGGAGGACUGAAACCUCUUCAUGUCUUUUUCCCAGGCCCUGAUUUAGGAAGACCAAAACAGGGACUUCUACAGUAGCAGCUUAAUCAGCAGAUGCUGGGUGGUCGCCUCUGCACAUGGCCUGGGGGGCGGGGCGCCUUACCGCGUCACACUGGGUGGAUGGGCCUGUGUGUGGCCUCUCUCCAGCUGUGGCUGACAGUACUCACUCAGCCCAGGCUUCCAGGCCCUCCUGGGCCCUCCUAUCCACUGAAGGAAAUGGGAGAUGAGUGGGUAAUGGAAAAGCCUUUGGAGUCAGAUGUAAAUCCAUGACUUGACCACUUAUUGCUGUGAGACCCUGGACAGCUGGAUAUAGAGUUCUUGUUCUAGCAUCCGCCCUGGGAAUCCCCGGAACUGGGCCUCUUACCGACACCAUUGCCUGUAAUCCACAAACCUAGGAGUUACUCCAGUUACUGUCCUACUGAAGGACCCCCAUCCCAUCUGGGCUACUAUAACCACAUGGACCAUCCCUUGCUUCAAUCAUAGAAUUCUUUCUUCAGAUCAAAGUAUAUUCAGACACUCGAUACAGUAACAAAAGCAAGCUAUCCUGGAAGGAAGAAGGAAUCAGGAGGCAGAGCACAUGGUUAAAGCAUGAGAUGUGAAACCAGGAAGAACCAGGUCUGAACCUUAGCUCCACCAGUGGUAGCUUCAAACCUUGGUCCUUUCUGAGCCUGCUUCUUCAACCGUAAGGAACUCGGAAACGGGACCCAGAAAGUUGUUUUCUCAAGUGGAUGGAACAACACAAGCAAUCAGUAUCCUGAAACAGGCCCUGUUCCAACAAACUGACCCAGAAAGAGGUUAUACCAAUUAUCUCUCCAGCAAGUAUGAGGACUCCUGUUUCCCUACGUACUCACUACUACAGCAAAGAUAUCAAACAUUGAUACCCACCAAUCUCUGGAUGGAAAAACAAAUCUCAGGGGCCUCACUAUUUUACCCUGGCUGGUUUCGAACUUCUGGGCUCCAGCUACCCCCAAGCCUC
RNAcentral lists this long non-coding RNA (1153 nucleotides) under Homo sapiens (human). RNAcentral's name for it is "PREDICTED lncRNA (TCONS_00151095)". Lineage: Eukaryota; Metazoa; Chordata; Mammalia; Primates; Hominidae. The record is from RNAcentral.